AGGCUUUGAUCCUGGCUCAGGAUGAACGCUGGCGGCGUGCUUAACACAUGCAAGUCGAACGAACUACGGGUUAGUGGCGGACGGGUGAGUAACGCGUGAGAAUCUGCCCUCAGGAGGGGGAUAACGGCUGGAAACGGCCGCUAAUACCCCAUAUGCCGAGAGGUGAAAUGAGUUAUCGCCUGAGGAUGAGCUCGCGUCUGAUUAGCUAGUUGGUGGGGUAAGAGCCUACCAAGGCAUCGAUCAGUAGCUGGUCUGAGAGGAUGAUCAGCCACACUGGGACUGAGACACGGCCCAGACUCCUACGGGAGGCAGCAGUGGGGAAUUUUCCGCAAUGGGCGAAAGCCUGACGGAGCAACGCCGCGUGAGGGAUGAAGGCCUCUGGGCUGUAAACCUCUUUUAUCAAGGAAGAAGAUCUGACGGUACUUGAUGAAUAAGCCACGGCUAU
RNAcentral lists this ribosomal RNA (445 nucleotides) under uncultured Synechococcus sp. Its description in RNAcentral is "bacterial SSU rRNA". It matches the Rfam family "Bacterial small subunit ribosomal RNA", at positions 8 to 500 of the family's 1533-position model. The record is from RNAcentral. Lineage: Bacteria; Bacillati; Cyanobacteriota; Cyanophyceae; Synechococcales; Synechococcaceae.